This 621-nucleotide long non-coding RNA is filed under the name Ixodes scapularis (black-legged tick). RNAcentral describes it as "uncharacterized LOC121837555". Lineage: Eukaryota; Metazoa; Arthropoda; Arachnida; Ixodida; Ixodidae. The record is from RNAcentral.
CCCGGCGGAAUGGCCGACUUGGAUUGCAACGAGGACAGUCAGAACGACUUCAGCCAUCACUGCCAAGCCAUCAGAACUUCAAGGCAAGAGAUGCCGCAAACACGUCACAACAGGCAAAGAACCACAGUCGCCGGCAUACUUCAAGUCUUCCGAUCCCCUUGAAGUUAGGGGGAGGACGUGUGGGUUAAGGACGUCAAUUGCCGAGGCAGUAUCCUCAGCCCCGCUCAGUGACCACAGUCAUAUGCGGUGGAAACGCCCAGGGGAACUCUGCAGUGAAACCUUUGGCAUCUAAUCCCCUUCUCAAAAGGCCAGUCAACGGAGGAACUGCCAGCCAGUGAACGAAAUCAAGGACCAAGUUUACAGCAGUCUACGCCUGGUGAGGGUCAACCAGCAUCAUCACCAGAGCCUUAGCAAGAAGGGCUUCGGCUGAGACGCACACGUUGCGGUCGUGUGUUUGGACCGCCAAGGCGACUGACUUAUAGAUCCUAAGGGGAGAUGUAGUGGGCACUACUGAGGUGAUGUUAUCUUAUUGCUCGCCAGAGGACACCAUCAUUUAUAGAGCGCUUAUAUAAGGAGCGGCACGUGGAAAUAAAAAGGACUUUCUUUUUUUUUUUGUUGUGG